AUAUAUAUAUAUAUAUAUAUAUAUAGAUGAAUGUAUAUAUGGAUGCUGCCUGCUGAUAGCGACUGCUCCUUUCCUUAGUUCAUGAAAAUACUUCAAAAUGCAUCGAGACUGAAAAUUCACAGGAAAAUCCAAUUGCAAAUAGCAAAUGGCAGCUGAAGCGUUUCGAUCAGCACAUUUGUAGCUAUAAGAAAGAGAUAAAAAGAUAAGAAUAUUUGAUUAGUCUAAAGUCUUGGCAAAUAAACUCGUGGCUAACAAUAAAUUUUGUUUAUAUUCCUCAGCGUUCGACGUGGCUCACACUGGCGGAAUGGGAAAUCUCUUUGGGAGAGGCCUCUUCAGCAUAAUUUUAUUUAUUUCUUUUUGGGAAAUGUAUGAAAAUGGUUUUAU
Molecule: small RNA, 384 nt
Filed under: Drosophila mojavensis
Lineage: Eukaryota; Metazoa; Arthropoda; Insecta; Diptera; Drosophilidae
Description: GI26863
Source: RNAcentral